RNAcentral lists this non-coding RNA (26 nucleotides) under Arabidopsis thaliana (thale cress). The record is from RNAcentral. Lineage: Eukaryota; Viridiplantae; Streptophyta; Magnoliopsida; Brassicales; Brassicaceae. RNAcentral also lists the same sequence under 1 other name.
UCAAUAAGCGGAGGAAAAGAAACUAA